GCAUAUGGAGGUUCCCAGGCUAGGGGUCUAACCGGAGCUGUAGCUACCGGCCUACACCACAGCCACAGCAACUCGGGAUCUGAGAUAUGUGUGUGACCUUCACACAGCUCACGGCAGUGCCAGAUCCUGAACCCACUGAGUGAGGCCAGGGGUCGAACCCACAACCUCAUGGUUCCUAGUCGGAUUCGUUAACCAUUGAGCCCCGACAGGAGCUCCCGGGUGUUUCUGAAUUUAGUAAAAAGCCAGUCCAAUGUCUCCAGAAAGGAAACUAUAUGAGUAGGUUUGCCUUGUAGAAAGAUCUCUCUGGGGCCAAUGCAGUGAUUGUGCUGGAGACAUGCUAGUCUCUUGUGAUUCCAGAUAGAGACGAUGAGAGACCCCAGAGAUGGGACAUAAGCAAUGUGGAAAUAAUUGAAACAUCCGAGUGAUAAUAUUCAUAAGACUAAGCCACGUUUCCUGAAUAUUUGUUCAUGGUGGGGAAACCGGAAUUCAAACCCAGGGAUGUUGAUAUGGCUUCUGUGGUCAACUCUCAGUGGUCGAUGUUGGACAUCUGAGCACACUGGCUAAAGUAACUUUAGGUUUGCGUGUGUGUGUGUGUGUGUGUGUGUGUGUGUGUGUGUGUGUGUGUGUGACAUCUGCAGGUCCUCAGACAUGGGUCCUUUACCACUCUUCUUAUUUUCAAAUUCAGUGUGCCCAGAGCACGUUCAGGCAGUUUCUCUACCUCAAAUGCAUGGAUUUUGUCCUAAGGGCUUUCUUUUCCUCGCUUUCGGACUUGGUCCCCCUUCUGCAAGGAAGAGGGCCAGGGCAGCAUCAAAGCUCUAGUCUUCCACUUGGUGAAGAAGGGGAGUGUUAAUCGUACAAGUUAUGAGACCCUAGCAGGUUACUUCCAAUUUCUGGACCUCAGGUUUAUUAUCGAAAAUUUUUAUUUAAAUCAGGGUUUCUUGCUGUGACACUCUCCACAUUUGGGGAUGACUUUUUCUUGUUGUAGAGGGGCUGUCGUGUUUAUUGUAAGAUGUUGAGCAGCAUCCCUGGAUUGUUUCAGUAUUGACAACCCAAAAUGUCUCUAGACAUUCCUGGGAACUUCCAUAUGCCAUAGGUACAGCCAUAAAAACAAAAGAAAACAAAAAUGUUGCAAAGUUCCUGUAAUGGCUCAGUGGUUAACGAAUCUGACUAGGAACCAUGAGGUUGCAGGUUUGAUCCCUGGCCUUGCUCAGUGGGUUAAGGAUCCAGCAUUGCCAUGAGCUGUGGUGUAGGUCACAGACGUGGCUCGAAUCUGGCAUUACUUUGGCUGUGGUGUAGGCCAGCGGCUAUAGCUCCGAUUCAACCCUUAGGCUGGGAACCUCCAUAUGCCAUGGGUGUG
This 1357-nucleotide long non-coding RNA is filed under the name Sus scrofa (pig). RNAcentral's name for it is "lncRNA (ENSSSCG00040012255.1)". The record is from RNAcentral. Lineage: Eukaryota; Metazoa; Chordata; Mammalia; Artiodactyla; Suidae.